Molecule: long non-coding RNA, 2234 nt
Organism: Brassica napus (rape)
Lineage: Eukaryota; Viridiplantae; Streptophyta; Magnoliopsida; Brassicales; Brassicaceae
Exons: 6
Source: RefSeq, a predicted model, not a curated record
UUGUAGGUUGCUUACCUUCCUAAACCUACCACCGGAGAUGAUGUAACGUCGCCUAAACAAUACUUCUCCUUCACAGAAUCACAGUCGAGGGUAAUGCCAAGAAAUGACAAAUACCUACUAACUCCUCUUCAAUGGCGCUUGAAUUCAACCUUCAACGUCUUCAUUCAGUAUAUAAACACACCUCCUGAGAGAUCCUUCGAUCAUGGCGAAUUCUCCAAAUCAGAGCUCAUGUUCUAUCUCCCAGAAACCCCUCGAUCAUGGCGACUUCAUUGAUGAAAAAGGCUGUGUACUUCUGUAGUGGGAGGAUCUCUGUCCUCCAGAAUCUCUUCAUUAUGGGCUUCCAUCAUUUUCUAUAUACUCAUUUUACAUCUCCCAUAUGGAGGAAUGCACAGAUGGCAAGUGGAGCUUCAGUAGAGUUUCACAAUACUUCAGAAACAGUUAGAGAUUCUCUAUUUUUCCCUGAACCCUACUUGAGUCUGAAGGCAUGGACAUGUAAACAGACUAAGAGAGAGUUAUGUGUAUUUACGUUGGAGACCCACAUAUUCAGAAGCAAGAGCUGUAAAAUUAAGAUCCAAUGUUUUUAUAGUAUUCGUAUCCAAGUACGCUCUUUAUUCUUUGCUUAUGUCACUACAGAUAAAAUCUUGGUCUGGACCAUCUGCUACUAAGUCUGAGAACCUGUUUUCCGAGUCUAAGAAUUCAAGACCUAGACACGGCCGCAACCUCUUUGUUAAUGGCCCUUCGACUUUGUAAUCAAUAGAAGCUAAGAAAGCCAUGGCUCCUGACAAACUCGCUGAGCUUUGGUUUGUUGACCCUGAGAGAGCUAAAAGACGAUCAUGGCUGGUUGAUAGUAACGGCACUGCAACCAAAAUAACGAGUGCAUCGAGUCAGAAUGACCCGCACCAAGUGGUGUGGAACGGCAAUCCUACAAGACUUUGUCCCAACUGUCAGCACGUCAUUGACAACAGUUACGAAGUUGAUGACUGGCCAGGCUUGCCUCAAGGUGUGAAAUUCGAUCCCUCUGAUCCAGAGAUCAUCUACCAUUUGCUUGCAAAAUCUGGAUUGUUGGGUUUAAGCUCCCACCCUUUCAUUAAUGAGUUCAUCACAACUGUCAAUCAAUAUGAUGGAAUCUGUUACGCACUUCCUAAAAACUUACCAGUCUAGCCAUUUCAGUGAUCGUACCAGUUCUGCCAAGUUUUAUCUUAAUCAGAUUUUUUUUUUUUAAAUCGAGGCCUUAAGCACGACGGGACUGCGUCCCACUUUUCCAUAGAGCUAUCAAAACUUACAGCGCAUGAACUAACCAGUUGUAUCGGAUGGUGCGUUUAGUCACUGUCAUGGUAUCCAGUACAUGUUGAUGCCUGCUUUUUAACUUUCCACUCUCUCCAACAACACCUCUUCUCUUCUGUUGCUUACUGCUAGAACCUUAUCUCCAGAGUGUCGUUGUGUUUAUCUUUUCUUACUCCACUUUUUGAAGGUAAGUGAACGGUGUGCAAAGCAUGCCUUUAAUGUCGAUGGAGAAGUCUCAGGAGGAAGAGCAUUCACACAUUUUCUUUCAGGUGGUUAUGUUUGACGUUUCAGUAAGUACAAGUAUGCUCAGCUAAUGAUUGCUAGCCGAAUGAGUUAUUCAUUCAUUGUUGUGCAGUUUUCUGCCUCAAGUUUUAGUACUUUUUCAUGAGUAAAGUGGCCUCAAUAUUUACAGUUCAUAAGAGCAGUUAGAUUUAACACUGAAGUGAUAUUGAAUGACAAGGUAUCAUAGAGAAUCAUUAGUUUUUCACAAGUAUCUCAUCAUUUAAAUCAUUAUACGUCUGCCAUCAUCAACCCAUUAAUAAAAUGACUAAACAUGCCCACAAAUCAUAACAAAAAUAUUUUACAAACCAGAGUAGCUUAUAAAAUACAAAUCCAUUGCUAGAGAAAUAUAAGAGUAGUGAGGGGAUCGUCUAACAACAACACGUCUCCAUCCUGCAUAGCUAAACAAGAACAAAGUGUGUUAAACAUUGGAACUUUUGUUUUUCAUGAAAUUGAUUUGUAAAAAACGUAACACCAACACAGCCGGUGUGUGAAGCUGGCCAUGGUUACAUGACAUCAAAGUUACCAGCAUCGGCACGCCAAUGGAAACAAUCCCCAAAAGUAAGGCCAAGUUAGCCCGCCAAAUGAGCAAGCACUUACGACAAGCUAAUUAACAUUCACGCAAUCAAGAAGCGAGUUCUCAUUUCUAAAAAAUUCAACUCACCACACCA